This 73-nucleotide transfer RNA is filed under the name Ailuropoda melanoleuca (giant panda). It matches the Rfam family "tRNA". From Rfam's summary of the family: Transfer RNA (tRNA) molecules are approximately 80 nucleotides in length. Lineage: Eukaryota; Metazoa; Chordata; Mammalia; Carnivora; Ursidae. The record is from Rfam by way of RNAcentral.
GCCUAGCUGACUCAAUUGGUAGAACAUGAGACUUUUGAUCUCAGGGUCGUGAGUUCAAGUCCCACACUGGGCA